RNAcentral lists this ribosomal RNA (746 nucleotides) under uncultured bacterium. RNAcentral's name for it is "bacterial SSU rRNA". It matches the Rfam family "Bacterial small subunit ribosomal RNA", at positions 742 to 1502 of the family's 1533-position model. The record is from RNAcentral.
GACGCUGAUGGACGAAAGCGUGGGUAGCGAACAGGAUUAGAUACCCUGGUAGUCCACGCCGUAAACGAUGGAUACUAGCUGUUCGGAAGCAAUUCUGAGUGGCUAAGCGAAAGUGAUAAGUAUCCCACCUGGGGAGUACGAACGCAAGUUUGAAACUCAAAGGAAUUGACGGGGGCCCGCACAAGCGGUGGAGCAUGUGGUUUAAUUCGAUGAUACGCGAGGAACCUUACCAGGGCUUAAAUGUAGAGUGACAGAUUUGGAAACAGAUUUUUCUUCGGACACUUUACAAGGUGCUGCAUGGUUGUCGUCAGCUCGUGCCGUGAGGUGUCAGGUUAAGUCCUAUAACGAGCGCAACCCCUGUUGUUAGUUGCCAGCGAGUCAAGUCGGGAACUCUAACAAGACUGCCAGUGCAAACUGAGAGGAAGGUGGGGAUGACGUCAAAUCAUCACGGCCCUUACGUCCUGGGCUACACACGUGCUACAAUGGCCGGUACAGAGAGCAGCCACUAGGUGACUAGGAGCGAAUCUACAAAACCGGUCACAGUUCGGAUUGGAGUCUGCAACUCGACUCCAUGAAGCUGGAAUCGCUAGUAAUCGGAUAUCAGCCAUGAUCCGGUGAAUACGUUCCCGGGCCUUGUACACACCGCCCGUCAAGCCAUGGAAGCUGGGGGUACCUGAAGUCGGUGACCGCAAGGAGCUGCCUAGGGUAAAACUGGUAACUGGGGCUAAGUCGUAACAAGGUAGCCA